UAAACAAAAGAUGGUUACUAUCCCAAAAGCACCAGCUAGGUUUCCAAGCAAACUCAUAUACAUACAGUUGGCCAGUUUGCUUGAUCCUUUAAUUUGUAUACGAUUCAUUGCACAGUACGCCGGCUCUCUUUACAGCCAGUCGGAAUGGAAGGUAUGAGGAAUUUGAGACGCACGAGGUAGCCAAACCCACGAGAUCCUUCGGGUAGCGUCUGCUCCAAUGAACAUGCUGGAAGGUGGUGGAGUUCUGCAAACGCUUGGCCUUGCUGCUCCAUUGGUUGUCCUUCAGUUGCUGCUUCGAGAUGCUUGAUGGUAUAUAGGACCUUUUCGUUUGAUGAUUUUCAUCUUCUUUCAAAACUAAUGGCAGAAGUCGACCGAAUCAUCAGUUUUAUCACGAUCAAUGCCAUUAUCAUGUUUAGACUGUCUGUCUGACUAUCUUUGACGAUGUGGUAGUUGUAGAUGUACUAUCCAUGUUAUUACAAGCAAUGAAGCAAACAUGAGUAGCCAUGUGGCAAAGUAGUGGAGUACUCACUCGGUCACAUGAAAACCAACCAAGGAUAACAUGUGAUGUUUUCUAGUGUAAUGAAGAUCUAGACAUGGUAUGUUCAGAUUCAUUCUACUAGAAAAAUGUCAUAUUAUAUUUCA
Molecule: non-coding RNA, 642 nt
Organism: Oryza sativa Japonica Group (Japanese rice)
Lineage: Eukaryota; Viridiplantae; Streptophyta; Magnoliopsida; Poales; Poaceae
Source: RefSeq, a predicted model, not a curated record